CUCACGUGCUCGACUCGGCAACCUCUCGCCUCCUUCGCCCUUCUUGCUCCUCUGCGUUACACUACUACUGUCGAAGCUCUAGCUUCUCUGUUCAAUCAAAAAAUUUGCACUGAUGUCGGACGAGGAGCACCAAUUUGAGUCAAAGGCAGAUGCCGGUGCAUCUAAAACUUACCCUCAACAAGCUGGUACUAUCCGUAAGAACGGUCAUAUCGUCAUCAAAGGCCGUCCCUGCAAGGUUGUGGAAGUCUCUACAUCCAAAACUGGAAAGCACGGUCAUGCAAAAUGUCAUUUUGUCGCUAUUGACAUCUUCACUGGAAAGAAGCUUGAGGAUAUUGUUCCCUCUUCACACAAUUGUGAUGUGCCCCAUGUUAAUCGUACAGAUUAUCAGCUUAUUGACAUCUCUGAAGAUGGAUUUGUGAGUCUGCUCACUGAGAAUGGUAACACCAAGGAUGACCUUAGGCUUCCUACUGAUGACAACCUCCUUACACAGAUCAAGGAUGGUUUUGCUGAGGGAAAAGACCUUGUUGUGUCUGUCAUGUCAGCCAUGGGUGNGUGAGGAGCAGAUUUGUGCCCUGAAGGAUAUUGGUCCCAAGUAAAUCUCUCGAUUGGAGAUUGUUCGAUGCGAAGUUCUUUACUACCUUAAGUUGGAUAGAUAUUAUAGUCAUGGAAAAAGGUAUGGUCUUAUGGACCAACUUGUUCAAGAAUAUUCUUCAGGAUUCUCGGACCAUUGCGAGUUAGAUUUUCGUAUUUUUGUUAUUUUAACUUGUGUUCGUCUGAAUUUUGUUCUACCUUAAAGCUUUUUUCAAAAUUUGGUGUGGGAAAAUGUUACCUGCAGCUGCAUACAUUCUUCACCAA
Nicotiana tabacum (common tobacco) is the source of this 855-nucleotide non-coding RNA. NCBI's taxonomy places the organism in Eukaryota, Viridiplantae, Streptophyta, Magnoliopsida, Solanales, Solanaceae. The record is from RefSeq and is a predicted model, not a curated record.